Molecule: ribosomal RNA, 442 nt
Filed under: uncultured bacterium
Lineage: Bacteria
Description: partial 16S ribosomal RNA
Rfam family: Bacterial small subunit ribosomal RNA
Source: RNAcentral
CCUACGGGUGGCAGCAGUGGGGAAUAUUGGGCAAUGGGCGCAAGCCUGACCCAGCAACGCCGCGUGAAGGAAGAAGGCUUUCGGGUUGUAAACUUCUUUUAAGAGGGAAGAGCAAAAGACGGUACCUCUUGAAUAAGCCACGUCUAACUACGUGCCAGAAUCCGCGGUAAUACGUAGGUGGCAAGCGUUGUCCGGAUUUACUGGGUUGAAAGGGCGUGUAGCCGGGCUGACAAGUCAGAUGUGACAUGCCGGGGCUUAACCCCGGACCUGCAUUUGAAACUGUUGGUCUUGAGGAUUGGUGAGGCAGGCGGAAUUCCUAGUGUAGCGGUGAAAGGCGUAGAUAUUAGGAGGAACACCAGUGGCGAAGGCGGCCUGCUGGACGACAACUGACGGUGAGGCGCGAAAGCGUGGGGAGCAAACAGGAUUAGAUACCCUAGUAGUC